UACGGAGGGUGCGAGCGUUGUCCGGAAUCACUGGGCGUAAAGGGCGCGUAGGCGGCCCAUUAAGCGUGUGGUGAAAGUCCAGGGCUCAACCCUGGGAUGCCGGUGGAUACUGUCGGGCUCGAGUCCGGAAGAGGCGAGUGGAAUUCCUGGUGUAGCGGUGAAAUGCGCAGAUAUCAGGAGGAACACCGAUGGCGAAGGCAGCUCGCUGGGACGGUACUGACGCUGAGACGCGAAAGCGUGGGGAGCAAACAGG
Molecule: ribosomal RNA, 253 nt
Filed under: uncultured bacterium
Lineage: Bacteria
Description: partial 16S ribosomal RNA
Rfam family: Bacterial small subunit ribosomal RNA
Source: RNAcentral